Molecule: ribosomal RNA, 256 nt
Filed under: uncultured bacterium
Lineage: Bacteria
Description: partial 16S ribosomal RNA
Rfam family: Bacterial small subunit ribosomal RNA
Source: RNAcentral
UACGUAGGGCGCAAGCGUUAUCCGGAAUUAUUGGGCGUAAAGAGCUCGUAGGCGGUUUGUCGCGUCUGCCGUGAAAAGUCCGGGGGCUCAACUCCGGAUCUGCGGUGGGUACGGGCAGACUAGAGUGAUGUAGGGGGAGACUGGAAUUCCUGGUGUAGCGGUGAAAUGCGCAGAUAUCAGGAAGAACACCAAUGGCGAAAGCAGCUCUCUGGGACGGUACUGACGCUGAGACGCGAAAGCGUGGGGAGCGAACAGG